This 478-nucleotide ribosomal RNA is filed under the name Streptococcus parasanguinis. RNAcentral describes it as "bacterial SSU rRNA". It matches the Rfam family "Bacterial small subunit ribosomal RNA", at positions 28 to 490 of the family's 1533-position model. The record is from RNAcentral. Lineage: Bacteria; Bacillati; Bacillota; Bacilli; Lactobacillales; Streptococcaceae.
GAUGAACGCUGGCGGCGUGCCUAAUACAUGCAAGUAGAACGCUGAAGCUUGGUGCUUGCACCGAGCGGAUGAGUUGCGAACGGGUGAGUAACGCGUAGGUAACCUGCCUCUUAGCGGGGGAUAACUAUUGGAAACGAUAGCUAAUACCGCAUAAAAGUCGAUAUCGCAUGAUGUUGAUUUGAAAGGUGCAAUUGCAUCACUAAGAGAUGGACCUGCGCUGUAUUAGCUAGUUGGUGAGGUAACGGCUCACCAAGGCGACGAUACAUAGCCGACCUGAGAGGGUGAUCGGCCACACUGGGACUGAGACACGGCCCAGACUCCUACGGGAGGCAGCAGUAGGGAAUCUUCGGCAAUGGGGGCAACCCUGACCGAGCAACGCCGCGUGAGUGAAGAAGGUUUUCGGAUUGUAAAGCUCUGUUGUAAGAGAAGAACGAGUGUGAGAGUGGAAAGUUCACACUGUGACGGAACUACCAGAAAG